Molecule: long non-coding RNA, 235 nt
Organism: Hibiscus syriacus
Lineage: Eukaryota; Viridiplantae; Streptophyta; Magnoliopsida; Malvales; Malvaceae
Exons: 3
Source: RefSeq, a predicted model, not a curated record
GCAAUUCCUGUUUCCACUGUUGCCUCAGAAUCCGCAUUCAGCACUAGUGGAAGAUUAAUAAGUCCACAUCGAAGUCGACUUCAUCCAAAAACUUUGGAGGCUUUAAUGUGUGCGCAAAGUUGGUUGUUGAAUGAGAUUCAAGAAACUUGUUCAGAAGAGACCGAGGCAUAUUGUCGCUCUGUUGAAUAUGAUUAUGACGUGGAUGAGGUACCUUUUACCGUUGUUGCUUCAGUAU